Molecule: ribosomal RNA, 438 nt
Filed under: uncultured Leptolinea sp.
Lineage: Bacteria; Bacillati; Chloroflexota; Anaerolineae; Anaerolineales; Anaerolineaceae
Description: bacterial SSU rRNA
Rfam family: Bacterial small subunit ribosomal RNA
Source: RNAcentral
ACAAGCAGCGGAGCGUGUGGUUUAAUUCGAUGCUACACGAGAACUUACCAGGUUUGACAUGCAAGUGGUAGGAAGCCGAAAGGUGACGACCCUUCGGGAGCUUGCACAGGUGCUGCAUGGCUGUCGUCAGCUCGUGUCGUGAGAUGUUCGGUUAAGUCCGCUAACGAGCGCAACCCUCGCUGUGUGUUAUAUAUGUCACACGGGACUGCCGGUCUUAAGCCGGAGGAAGGUGGGAUGAUGUCAAGUCAGCAUGGCCUUUAUAUCCUGGGCUACACACACGCUACAAUGGCCAACACAAUAGGUUGCUAAGCCGCGAGGUGGCGCCAAUCCAUAAAGUUGGUCUCAGUUCAGAUUGUAGGCUGCAACCCGCCUGCAUGAAGAUGGAGUUGCUAGUAACCGCAGGUCAGCUAUACUGCGGUGAAUACGUUCCCGGGGCUU